Molecule: ribosomal RNA, 201 nt
Filed under: uncultured bacterium
Lineage: Bacteria
Description: partial 16S ribosomal RNA
Rfam family: Bacterial small subunit ribosomal RNA
Source: RNAcentral
UACGUAGGGUGCAAGCGUUAAUCGGAAUUACUGGGCGUAAAGCGUGCGCAGGCGGUGUUGUAAGUCUGUCGUGAAAGCCCCGGGCUCAACCUGGGAAUUGCGAUGGAGACUGCAAGGCUUGAAUCUGGCAGAGGGGGGUAGAAUUCCACGUGUAGCAGUGAAAUGCGUAGAGAUGUGGAGGAACACCGAUGGCGAAGGCAG